RNAcentral lists this ribosomal RNA (482 nucleotides) under uncultured bacterium. Its description in RNAcentral is "bacterial SSU rRNA". It matches the Rfam family "Bacterial small subunit ribosomal RNA", at positions 30 to 507 of the family's 1533-position model. The record is from RNAcentral.
AUUGAACGCUGGCGGCAUGCCUUACACAUGCAAGUCGAACGGCAGCGGACCUUCGGGUGCCGGCGAGUGGCGAACGGGUGAGUAAUAUAUCGGAACGUACCUUUCAGUGGGGGAUAACGUAGCGAAAGUUACGCUAAUACCGCAUAUUCUGUGAGCAGGAAAGCAGGGGAUCGCAAGACCUUGCGCUGAUUGAGCGGCCGAUAUCAGAUUAGCUAGUUGGUGAGGUAAAGGCUCACCAAGGCGACGAUCUGUAGCGGGUCUGAGAGGAUGAUCCGCCACACUGGAACUGAGACACGGUCCAGACUCCUACGGGAGGCAGCAGUGGGGAAUUUUGGACAAUGGGCGCAAGCCUGAUCCAGCCAUGCCGCGUGAGUGAAGAAGGCCUUCGGGUUGUAAAGCUCUUUCGGCCGGGAAGAAAUCGCACAGGUUAAUACCCUGUGUGGAUGACGGUACCGGAAUAAGAAGCACCGACUAACUACGUG